AUGCUGCCGCAUCUGGCGGAGCUGCAGUCUGAGAAGGUCAAGGAUAAGAUCAUCCUCGAUGGGAACGACAUUGAGCUUGUCUCCCGCUCUACCGCCCUCAUCAACUAG
This 108-nucleotide ribosomal RNA is filed under the name Triticum aestivum (bread wheat). RNAcentral describes it as "partial small subunit ribosomal RNA". Lineage: Eukaryota; Viridiplantae; Streptophyta; Magnoliopsida; Poales; Poaceae. The record is from RNAcentral.